UAGGGAAUCUUCCACAAUGGACGCAAGUCUGAUGGAGCAACGCCGCGUGAGUGAAGAAGGUUUUCGGACCGUAAAGCUCUGUUGUUGGUGAAGAAGGAUAGAGGUAGUAACUGGCCUUUAUUUGACGGUAAUCAACCAGAAAGUCACGGCUAACUACGUGCCAGCAGCCGCGGUAAUACGUAGGUGGCAAGCGUUGUCCGGAUUUAUUGGGCGUAAAGCGAGCGCAGGCGGAAGAAUAAGUCUGAUGUGAAAGCCCUCGGCUUAACCGAGGAAUUGCAUCGGAAACUGUUUUCUUGAGUGCAGAAGAGGAGAGUAGAACUCCAUGUGUAGCGGUGGAAUGCGUAGAUAUAUGGAAGAAUACCAGUGGCGAAGGCGGCUCUCUGGUCUGCAACUGACGCUGAGGCUCGAAAGCAUGGGUAGCGAACAGGAUUAGAUACCCUUGGUAGUCCAUGCCGUAAACGAUGAGUGCUAAGUGUUGGGAGGCUUCCGCCUCUCAGUGCUGCAGCUAACGCAUUAAGCACUCCGCCUGGGGGAGU
Molecule: ribosomal RNA, 536 nt
Filed under: uncultured bacterium
Lineage: Bacteria
Description: partial 16S ribosomal RNA
Rfam family: Bacterial small subunit ribosomal RNA
Source: RNAcentral